UAGCUCCAGCUCCAGGACUUCUGAUGC
RNAcentral lists this unclassified non-coding RNA (27 nucleotides) under Mus musculus (house mouse). RNAcentral describes it as "oocyte_clustered_small_RNA10336". The record is from RNAcentral. Lineage: Eukaryota; Metazoa; Chordata; Mammalia; Rodentia; Muridae.